Sceloporus undulatus (fence lizard) is the source of this 1526-nucleotide long non-coding RNA. RefSeq lists it as uncharacterized. NCBI's taxonomy places the organism in Eukaryota, Metazoa, Chordata, Lepidosauria, Squamata, Phrynosomatidae. The transcript is spliced from 5 exons. The record is from RefSeq and is a predicted model, not a curated record.
AACAUCUUUAGGCUGCAAUCAAGCGGUGGUGGUUGGUCUCUGGAGUUCAAGGCUUCUUCUUUGAAGAGAAACAGCCAGAUUGCAGACCCAACACAAUAUUCAGUGCAAUAGAUAACGUCUGGGUUGAUACAAAGAAAAGCAAUGCUUGCAAAAGGGGAAAGAGGGAAGGUGACUACACUCCUGGCAACUUCUUCCCUGCCUAUCAGGUGUCAUGCAAGGAUCAGUGGCUCCUGCUGAAUAGGGACCUUGAAAUGGCAUUUCCAUCCAGCCCUUAAAGCACCUGUGCCUGUCUGAAACUGAAGCUUAUGCUUGCUUAUGCUUGUUUCUUGCUGUUAUGUGCCUUCAAGCCAGCUCCAACAUAAGGAGACCCAUUCACAGAGCUUAUUCAGAGGAAGUUUGCCACUGUCUUCCACUAAAGAGGGUAUUAUUUCGCCCAAGUCCCCUUCUCAACCAUGGAAACCCACUGGGUGACUUUCGCUAUUCUUCUUGGCUUUUGACAGCUGUUUACUCAAGUGAUAUCAAAGCCCCAAUCCAGAUGGACAGGAUGGAAUGCCGGGAGCCAGCAAACAUGGUCCAUCUUCUUUUGUAUUGUCUUAUGAACCACCUGAGCAUUACCUUAUCACUGGAGGAAUCUUUCUGUUGAUUUAUCACCACCUGUUUGCUUACUUCCACAGCUGUCAGACUAGUUAAAACUGUGGGAGAUGGGCAUCUCUGUCCUUGAGCUAAAAGAUAAAAUUCUCUGCAAAGGAGCAGAAAUUAUUCUGCAAUGCCCAAAAUAAAUUGUGCAGGUUUCAACACUCUAGUAUUGAUGGAAUCCUAUGUACUUGCUUCAGCAAGGGCCCUUUCACAUUACACAACUAUAGAACUAUGAUCCCCUUAACUUCCAUGGCUCAAUCCUAUGGGAUUCUGGGAUUUGCCCUUUAAGGAGUGGUACUUUGAAUUCUCAAACAGAGAGCUCUAAUGCCUCAUGAAACUACAGACCUUAAGAUGCUGUAGAAUAAAACUAUGGCAGUUAAAGUGGAAUCAUAGUGCUACAACUGUGUAGUGUGAAAGGACCUCUGAUUGGGGCUGUGCCUUUUCCUCUGAAUAUUCUGAGACUGCUGCUGAGCAGGGUUGGUCCUACCAUUGGGCAGAGUGAGGUAGCCAUUUCAGGCAAAACAUUGGUUAUUUGAUUAUUUUGUUAUUAUUUUAUUUUUGCUGCCAGGUAUGAGGCAAAGGUGGUGUGAUGAUUAUGGGAUUAUUAUUAUUAUUAGCUCACAUGUCUAAAUAAUUUGACUGACCUAUCCAACUCAUCCAAUGGUACCUUGACUUGGGUGAUAUUGCGGCCAAUGCCAUUUGUUACUCUGCUUCAAGCAGCAAAAUGCCUCAGCCUAUCCCUCCCUUUAAGUAGAAACGUGUAUUAUCAAAAGGUUGAUCUCCUCAGACUUCAGCUUUUUGGAAAAGCUAAAAACAAAACAAAACCCUCCAAUGUACAUUAAUAGAGAUUUUCUCAAUUUUGCCACAGUUUUAAAUAACAAGUACAAAAA